UAUUGCCAUCCUCACUAUCACUAUCCGAUGACAUCUGCCAUAUCAAACAAUAGUUAGCAUCAAGAUAAUAAUAGGUUCACCAACAUAGGCAUUAAAUAUUAUUCCAAUAGCACAAGAUAGUAAUAGGUUCACCAACAUAGGCAUAAAUAUUGUUCUCAUAGCACAACAUAAUAAAAGGUUCACCAACAAAGGCAUAAAUAUUGUUCUCAUAACACAAGAUAAUAAAAGGUUCACCAACAAAGGCAUAAAUAUUGUUCUCAUAGCACAACAUAAUAAAAGGUUCACCAACAAAGGCAUAAAUAUUGUUCUCAUAGCACAACAUAAUAAUAGGUUCACCAACAUAGGCAUAAAUAUUGUUCCCAUCGCUCCAAGAUAAUAAAAGGUUCACCAACAAAGGCAUAAAUAUUGUUCUCAUAGCACAACAUAAUAAUAGGUUCACCAACAUAGGCAUAAAUAUUGUUCCCAUCGCCCAAGAUAAGAUGUAACGAACUAGUUGCCAUACUUGAGGUCAAACCUCCUACGCAACCAACCCAUUCUAGAGUCGGAUGUCAUGUGCAAGAACAUUUCCCUUCGCUCUUUCUUCAGAAAGAGCUCAGUAGCAAUGAAGUGCUCAUCAGUGCCAUCUAUUGCGCCACAAGCACGAACUAAAUCCAUGGUAGAUGCAACAGAGGUGGUCUCAUCUUUCUGUAGGAAAGACUAAAAUGAUGUAUGCGAAGCAUGUGCAAUGGAACUAAUCUUUUUUAUCUCCUCUUGCAUCACUUGUGCAGUCUUUGGUUUCUUGUUCUUCUCCGGAAUCUUGACCCCAAGCCUCACUUUAGAUGCACUAGCUAUUGUCGGAGAUGCUUGCUCUUCGGUAUCAUCCUCCAAAUCAAGAUCGGUGAUUUCAUCAACAUUCAANNNN
Molecule: long non-coding RNA, 901 nt
Filed under: Triticum aestivum (bread wheat)
Lineage: Eukaryota; Viridiplantae; Streptophyta; Magnoliopsida; Poales; Poaceae
Description: long non-coding RNA (TAES_LNC003876)
Source: RNAcentral